RNAcentral lists this long non-coding RNA (403 nucleotides) under Pan troglodytes (chimpanzee). RNAcentral describes it as "long non-coding RNA NONPTRT002661". The record is from RNAcentral. Lineage: Eukaryota; Metazoa; Chordata; Mammalia; Primates; Hominidae.
UGGGGAUCUGGCUUGUGAGAGCAACUGGGAGCAGAGAGAACCACUGGGGGAGGCAGGGAAAGGGAAAUGGGGAGAGGGAUUCCUGAACACCAGGCUUUUCUGAACUUACCGCUGGCCAAAGAGUACAGAAGGCAUCACCAUGGCACCACAGCAGAGCAGAAACCCAGCGCAAUUCACCCACCUCUCCCCGCCUGCUGGGAGCCCAAGCUUCUGCGUCUCAGAGCUUACUGCGCCCCCUGCUCUCCCACCCCAUCUUCCUGCUCAUGGAGGCGGCAGCGCAGUGUUGUGCUGAGGAUGCGGAGAAGGGGUCCGAGCCCCAGCUGGAUCCCUACAUAUCCCUUCUCCGACCAUGAGCAUGUCCCUUUCCCUUUCUCAGCCUCAGUCCCUCCAUACAAUAGAAAGC